This 497-nucleotide ribosomal RNA is filed under the name uncultured bacterium. RNAcentral's name for it is "partial 16S ribosomal RNA". It matches the Rfam family "Bacterial small subunit ribosomal RNA", at positions 28 to 507 of the family's 1533-position model. The record is from RNAcentral.
GAUGAACGCUGGCGGCGUGCCUAAUACAUGCAAGUCGAGCGAACGGACGAGAAGCUUGCUUCUCUGAUGUUAGCGGCGGACGGGUGAGUAACACGUGGAUAACCUACCUAUAAGACUGGGAUAACUUCGGGAAACCGGAGCUAAUACCGGAUAAUAUUUUGAACCGCAUGGUUCAAAAGUGAAAGACGGUCUUGCUGUCACUUAUAGAUGGAUCCGCGCUGCAUUAGCUAGUUGGUAAGGUAACGGCUUACCAAGGCAACGAUGCAUAGCCGACCUGAGAGGGUGAUCGGCCACACUGGAACUGAGACACGGUCCAGACUCCUACGGGAGGCAGCAGUAGGGAAUCUUCCGCAAUGGGCGAAAGCCUGACGGAGCAACGCCGCGUGAGUGAAGAAGGUCUUCGGAUCGUAAAACUCUGUUAUUAGGGAAGAACAUAUGUGUAAGUAAAUGUGCACAUCUUGACGGUACCUAAUCAGAAAGCCACGGCUAACUACGUG